RNAcentral lists this ribosomal RNA (244 nucleotides) under uncultured Clostridium sp. RNAcentral describes it as "partial 16S ribosomal RNA". It matches the Rfam family "Bacterial small subunit ribosomal RNA", at positions 796 to 1041 of the family's 1533-position model. The record is from RNAcentral. Lineage: Bacteria; Bacillati; Bacillota; Clostridia; Eubacteriales; Clostridiaceae.
CACGCCGUAAACGAUGAAUACUAGGUGUGGGAGGUACCAAUCCUUCCGUGCCGCCGUUAACACAUUAAGUAUUCCGCCUGGGGAGUACGGUCGCAAGAUUAAAACUCAAAGGAAUUGACGGGGGCCCGCACAAGCAGCGGAGCAUGUGGUUUAAUUCGAAGCAACGCGAAGAACCUUACCUAGACUUGACAUCUCCUGAAUUACCGGUAAUGCGGGAAGCCCUUCGGGGCAGGAAGACAGGUGG